GACUAUAGCAUGUUGAUUGUUCAUGGCGUUUCAAGGGCUCAAUUGAGAAAGGCUGGUAUAUCUCAAACGCCUCGAUGAAACCCGCGGUUGGUGGUGUGUGAGGUUGUUAGGUACAUCAGUGCACAGAAACUUGCAGUCUAAGGAGCUUGAAGUGUCAUGUUGCGUGUUGUUUGAAGAGAACAUUUAAUAUUAUGAAUUUUA
This 201-nucleotide long non-coding RNA is filed under the name Helianthus annuus (common sunflower). RNAcentral describes it as "hypothetical non coding rna". Lineage: Eukaryota; Viridiplantae; Streptophyta; Magnoliopsida; Asterales; Asteraceae. The record is from RNAcentral.